This 805-nucleotide unclassified non-coding RNA is filed under the name Loranthus guizhouensis. RNAcentral's name for it is "partial contains small subunit ribosomal RNA, internal transcribed spacer 1, 5.8S ribosomal RNA, internal transcribed spacer 2, and large subunit ribosomal RNA". The stretch from base 358 to 513 matches the Rfam family "5.8S ribosomal RNA". The record is from RNAcentral. Lineage: Eukaryota; Viridiplantae; Streptophyta; Magnoliopsida; Santalales; Loranthaceae.
UCAUUUAGAGGAAGGAGAAGUCGUAACAAGGUUUCCGUAGGUGGACCUGCGGAGGAUCAUUGUCGAGCCACCCAGAGCGACCUGUGGACCCGUUAAACCGAUGGGCGCGGGAGCCGGCCGAGCAUGCUCGGCCCUCCAGCCCCUUGUCGGCACGUGCGAGGGCUCCCCUUCCCACCCCUCUCCGCGCCCCGGCGCGAAGGGGCGGUUGGUCGGCGGAUUCUCGCACGCGGCCGGCGCGAUGAACAAACUCGGCGCGGUCUGCGCCAAGGAAUCUGAGACGAGGAGUACGCCCCCCGCGCCCAUUGAAUCAAUGCGGCGCCGGGGGUGCGCACCCAUGCGAUUGCAAAAAUACGUAACGACUCUCGGCAACGGAUAUCUCGGCUCUCGCAUCGAUGAAGAACGCAGCGAAAUGCGAUACCUGGUGUGAAUUGCAGAAUCCCGUGAAUCAUCGAGUUUUUGAACGCAAGUUGCGCCCGAGUCCUUAGGGGCGAGGGCACGCCUGCCUGGGCGUCACGCGUUGCGACGCCCCCACAAUCAAUCCCGCGCCCGCCUCGGGGCGGGGUUGAAGUCGGGGGGCGGAUGUUGGCUUCCCGUGCGUCGCCGCUCGGUUGGCCGAAAAAGGGCAGUCCCCGUGGCACGGUACCCGACGAUUGGUGGAUGACACAAAGUUUUGUCCCAUCGUCCUUCCGGCGCGAAACGAGCGGACUGCGAGGACCCUCGAGCUUUGCCCGCCUUCGGCGGCGGGCAUUGACUCCUUCUGCGACCCCAGGUCAGGCGGGACUACCCGCUGAGUUUAAGCAUAUCA